Molecule: ribosomal RNA, 501 nt
Filed under: uncultured bacterium
Lineage: Bacteria
Description: partial 16S ribosomal RNA
Rfam family: Bacterial small subunit ribosomal RNA
Source: RNAcentral
AUUGAACGCUGGCGGCAUGCCUUACACAUGCAAGUCGAACGGCAGCACGGGUGCUUGCACCUGGUGGCGAGUGGCGGACGGGUGAGUAAUACAUCGGAACGUACCUUAUCGUGGGGGAUAACGCAGCGAAAGCUGUGCUAAUACCGCAUACGCCCUGAGGGGGAAAGCGGGGGAUCGAAAGACCCCGCGCGAUUAGAGCGGCCGAUGCCUGAUUAGCUUGUUGGUGGGGUAAAAGCCCACCAAGGCGACGAUCAGUAGCUGGUCUGAGAGGACGAUCAGCCACACUGGGACUGAGACACGGCCCAGACUCCUACGGGAGGCAGCAGUGGGGAAUUUUGGACAAUGGGGGCAACCCUGAUCCAGCAAUGCCGCGUGAGUGAAGAAGGCCUUCGGGUUGUAAAGCUCUUUCGUCAGGGAAGAAACACCGGCUCUAACACAGUCCGGGAAUGACGGUACCUGAAGAAUAAGCACCGGCUAACUACGUGCCAGCCGCCGCAGUAA